RNAcentral lists this ribosomal RNA (569 nucleotides) under uncultured Bacteroidales bacterium. Its description in RNAcentral is "bacterial SSU rRNA". It matches the Rfam family "Bacterial small subunit ribosomal RNA", at positions 109 to 677 of the family's 1533-position model. The record is from RNAcentral. Lineage: Bacteria; Pseudomonadati; Bacteroidota; Bacteroidia; Bacteroidales.
AGUAACACGUAUCCAACCUGCCGAUAACUCGGGGAUAGCCUUUCGAAAGAAAGAUUAAUACCCGAUGGUAUAAUCAGACCGCAUGGUCUUGUUAUUAAAGAAUUUCGGUUAUCGAUGGGGAUGCGUUCCAUUAGGCAGUUGGUGAGGUAACGGCUCACCAAACCUUCGAUGGAUAGGGGUUCUGAGAGGAAGGUCCCCCACAUUGGAACUGAGACACGGUCCAAACUCCUACGGGAGGCAGCAGUGAGGAAUAUUGGUCAAUGGGCGCAGGCCUGAACCAGCCAAGUAGCGUGAAGGAUGACUGCCCUAUGGGUUGUAAACUUCUUUUAUAUGGGAAUAAAGUUUUCCACGUGUGGAAUUUUGUAUGUACCAUAUGAAUAAGGAUCGGCUAACUCCGUGCCAGCAGCCGCGGUAAUACGGAGGAUCCGAGCGUUAUCCGGAUUUAUUGGGUUUAAAGGGAGCGUAGGUGGACAGUUAAGUCAGUUGUGAAAGUUUGCGGCUCAACCGUAAAAUUGCAGUUGAUACUGGCUGUCUUGAGUACAGUAGAGGUGGGCGGAAUUCGUGGUGUA